This 253-nucleotide ribosomal RNA is filed under the name uncultured bacterium. RNAcentral describes it as "partial 16S ribosomal RNA". It matches the Rfam family "Bacterial small subunit ribosomal RNA", at positions 524 to 776 of the family's 1533-position model. The record is from RNAcentral.
UACGAAGGGGGCUAGCGUUGUUCGGAUUUACUGGGCGUAAAGCGCACGUAGGCGGGUUGUUAAGUCAGGGGUGAAAUCCUGGAGCUCAACUCCAGAACUGCCUUUGAUACUGGCAACCUAGAGGCUGGAAGAGGUUAGUGGAAUUCCCAGUGUAGAGGUGAAAUUCGUAGAUAUUGGGAAGAAUACCAGUGGCGAAGGCGGCCAACUGGCCCGAUACUGACGCUGAGGCGCGAAAGCGUGGGGAGCAAACAGG